UAUUAAAAAUUUCAUCCAUUUGUAUUGUUAAAGUUUGACGUGGUUGAUGAAAUAACUAAAUAGUGACAUAUGACGUGCUACAUGUACAGUGACUAAUUUUUAACAGUAAAAAUGCAUAAAUUUUUUUAAUA
This is a non-coding RNA of Gossypium raimondii (Peruvian cotton), 131 nucleotides long. The record is from Rfam. NCBI's taxonomy places the organism in Eukaryota, Viridiplantae, Streptophyta, Magnoliopsida, Malvales, Malvaceae.